Molecule: long non-coding RNA, 208 nt
Filed under: Carica papaya (papaya)
Lineage: Eukaryota; Viridiplantae; Streptophyta; Magnoliopsida; Brassicales; Caricaceae
Description: long non-coding RNA (CPAP_LNC009032)
Source: RNAcentral
CAGAUGGGCCGUCUGCGCGUCAUCUCACGUGCGAACAGGUGUUGCACAUUGUGCUCGCGCGCGGAUUGGCGCUGCACACUAUGUCACGUGCGGAUAGGCACCACACACUGUGCGCACACCAUCCCAGUAGCAGGCUUGGGCAGAUAGGCCCAUGUGCACCUGGGGCCUGUGUGCAGUAGGCCUAUGCACACGGUAGGAGUUCUGUGCU